RNAcentral lists this ribosomal RNA (678 nucleotides) under uncultured Bacillus sp. Its description in RNAcentral is "bacterial SSU rRNA". It matches the Rfam family "Bacterial small subunit ribosomal RNA", at positions 397 to 1064 of the family's 1533-position model. Lineage: Bacteria; Bacillati; Bacillota; Bacilli; Caryophanales; Bacillaceae. The record is from RNAcentral.
CCGCGUGAGUGAUGAAGGUUUUCGGAUCGUAAAACUCUGUUGUUAGGGAAGAACAAGUAUCGGAGUAACUGCCGGUACCUUGACGGUACCUAACCAGAAAGCCACGGCUAACUACGUGCCAGCAGCCGCGGUAAUACGUAGGUGGCAAGCGUUGUCCGGAAUUAUUGGGCGUAAAGCGCGCGCAGGCGGUCCUUUAAGUCUGAUGUGAAAGCCCACGGCUCAACCGUGGAGGGUCAUUGGAAACUGGGGGACUUGAGUGCAGAAGAGGAGAGUGGAAUUCCACGUGUAGCGGUGAAAUGCGUAGAGAUGUGGAGGAACACCAGUGGCGAAGGCGACUCUCUGGUCUGUAACUGACGCUGAGGCGCGAAAGCGUGGGGAGCGAACAGGAUUAGAUACCCUGGUAGUCCACGCCGUAAACGAUGAGUGCUAAGUGUUAGAGGGUUUCCGCCCUUUAGUGCUGCAGCUAACGCAUUAAGCACUCCGCCUGGGGAGUACGGCCGCAAGGCUGAAACUCAAAGGAAUUGACGGGGGCCCGCACAAGCGGUGGAGCAUGUGGUUUAAUUCGAAGCAACGCGAAGAACCUUACCAGGUCUUGACAUCCUCUGCCAACCCUAGAGAUAGGGCGUUCCCCUUCGGGGGACAGAGUGACAGGUGGUGCAUGGUUGUCGUCAGCUUGUG